This 460-nucleotide ribosomal RNA is filed under the name uncultured bacterium. Its description in RNAcentral is "partial 16S ribosomal RNA". It matches the Rfam family "Bacterial small subunit ribosomal RNA", at positions 338 to 795 of the family's 1533-position model. The record is from RNAcentral.
CCUACGGGUGGCAGCAGUGAGGAAUAUUGGUCAAUGGACGAGAGUCUGAACCAGCCAAGCAGCGUGAAGGAUGACUGCCCUAUGGGUUGUAAACUUCUUUUAUAUGGGAAUAAAAUGUUCCACGUGUGGGAUUUUGUAUGUCCCAUAUGAAUAAGGAUCGGCUAACUCCGUGCCAGCAGCCGCGGUAAUACGGAGGAUCCGAGCGUUAUCCGGAUUUAUUGGGUUUAAAGGGAGCGUAGGUGGAUUGUUAAGUCAGUUGUGAAAGUGUGCGGCUCAACCGUAAAAUUGCAGUUGAAACUGGCAGUCUUGAGUACAGUAGAGGUGGGCGGAAUUCGUGGUGUAGCGGUGAAAUGCUUAGAUAUCACGAAGAACUCCGAUUGCGAAGGCAGUUCACUGGACUGCAACUGACACUGAGGCUCGAAAGUGUGGGUAUCAAACAGGAUUAGAUACCCGAGUAGUC